This 497-nucleotide ribosomal RNA is filed under the name uncultured bacterium. Its description in RNAcentral is "partial 16S ribosomal RNA". It matches the Rfam family "Bacterial small subunit ribosomal RNA", at positions 28 to 507 of the family's 1533-position model. The record is from RNAcentral.
GAUGAACGCUGGCGGCGUGCCUAAUACAUGCAAGUCGAGCGAAGGGACGAGAAUCUCGCUUCUCUGAUGUUAGCGACGGACGGGUGAGUCACACGUGGCUAACCUACCUAUAAGACUUAGGUAACUGCGGGAAACCGGAGCUCAUACCGUAUAUUAUUUUGAACCGCAUGGUUCAGAAGUGAAAGACGGUCUAGCUGUCACUUAUAGAUGUAUCCGCGCUGCAUUAGCUAGUUGGUAAGGUAACGGCUUGCCAAGGCAACGAUGCGUAGCCGACCUGAGAGGGUGAUAGGCCACACGGGAGCUGAGACACGGACCAGAGUACUACGGGAGGCAGCAGUAGGGAAUGGUAGGCAGUGGGCGAAAGCCUGACGGAGCAACGGCGAGUGAGUGAUGAAGGUGUCGGGAUCGUAAAACUCUGUUACUAGGGAAGAACAUCUGUGAAUGUAACUGUGGAGAUCUUGACGGUACCUACACAGAAAGCGCCGGCUAACUACGUG